GAUUAACGCUGGCGGCAUGCCUAAUACAUGCAAGUCGAACGGAAGCAGCAAUGCUUUAGUGGCGAACGGGUGAGUAACACGUAGGGAACCUACCUAUACGACGAGGAUAACUACUGGAAACGGUAGCUAAAACUGGAUAGGAUCAAUUGAGGCAUCUUGAUUGAUUUAAAGAUCCUUCGGGAUUACGUAGAGAUGGCCCUGCGGCGCAUUAGCUAGUUGGUGAGGUAACGGCCCACCAAGGCGACGAUGCGUAGCUGAGCUGAGAGGCUAAACAGCCACACUGGGACUGAGACACGGCCCAGACUCCUACGGGAGGCAGCAGUAGGGAAUUUUCGGCAAUGGGGGAAACCCUGACCGAGCAACGCCGCGUGAGUGACGAAGGCCUUCGGUUGUAAGCUCUGUUGUAAGGGAAGAACGGUACAUAGAGGAAUGCUAUGUAAGUGACGGUACCUUACCAGAAAGACCACGGCUAACUACGUGCCAGCAGCCGC
This 491-nucleotide ribosomal RNA is filed under the name uncultured bacterium. RNAcentral describes it as "bacterial SSU rRNA". It matches the Rfam family "Bacterial small subunit ribosomal RNA", at positions 28 to 518 of the family's 1533-position model. The record is from RNAcentral.